Molecule: RNA transcript, 1582 nt
Organism: Phycodurus eques (leafy seadragon)
Lineage: Eukaryota; Metazoa; Chordata; Actinopteri; Syngnathiformes; Syngnathidae
Gene: pop5
Gene name: POP5 homolog, ribonuclease P/MRP subunit
Exons: 5
Source: RefSeq, a predicted model, not a curated record
GUAAUCUGGCGUUCAUCGAAGAAGAAAUGAUCAACGAUGGUGAGAGUUAAAUCGAGGUAUUUACUCUGUGAGAUUAACGUGUCUGACAGAAGCAGUCUCUUGUUCCUGAAUGACAGAGCUAUCGCCGCAGCGGUGAAAGAAGCGGUGGCCCGCAUACACGGCGACUACGGGGCGGCGAUGUGCAGCAUUAGAUUCUGCGUGAAAUACCUGAAUACCCAAACAGGAAUGGUAUUCCUGCGUUUCCCUAAAAGAAGCUACAAACUGCUGUGGUCAGCAUUGCCUUUCAUCACCAGUAUUGAAACCCGCUACCAGAAAAUACCAUGCUUUCUAAACUGUCUGCACAUAGGAGGAACAAUCAGAACUUGUCAGAAGUUUCUGAUACGAUACAACACACGGCAGCUCCAUCGAAUGCUCCCAAAUUGUAAAAAUGAAGGUAAGUCUUGUCAUUUAAGGCUUGGAUAAAAUAAACAUGAUAAUAGUAUGACAAUGUAGUUUGUUAUAUAAUUUGGAAUACUUGUUUUUAAUAUUUGAGUAGCAAAGUUAAUUCACUCAUGUGAGACUUACAUCUGCUAAAUACAGUUCUGUGAAAAAUGAUUGGCCCUCUUCUCAAAUUCUUGUAUUUUUGCCUGGUUUCCCCACUUUAAUGUCUAAGAUCAUUAACCAAAUGUAAAUAUCAGACAAAUAAAACCCAAGUCAAUUUCAAAUGCUGCUUUUAAAUGGUGAUUGCAUUAAUUAAGGCAAAGGGUUAAUCACAACGUUUGGUUAAUUUUCAUUGAUCACACCCAAACCUGAUUACUCCACACCUGUGCAGUCAAGAAAUCACUUAAAAAUAAUCUUAAAUAAUCUGUCCUGACAAAAUCAAGUUGGACAAAAGACCUAAAAGGACUGCAACAAACUGGCACGAUCAAAAGAAAUUCCAGAACAGUCGAGAAAUAAGGUAAUUGAGAUCUAUCAAUCUGAAAAGGGCAACAAAAGCUAUUUCCAAAGCUUUAGAAUUCCAGCGAACCAUAGGGAGAGCCAUUAUCCUCACAUGGAGAAAAUAUGGAAGAGUGAUGAACCUUCUCAGGGGUGGCCGGCCUCCAAAGAUUACCCCAAGAGAACAGCAAUGACUCAUCCAGGAGGCCACAAAGGAACUCAGGACAACUUUUAAAGAACUGCAGGGCUCCCUUGCCUCAGUUAAGGUCAAUGUUAAUGACACAACAAUAAGGAAACUACUAGGCAAAAAUGGCAGAUUUCCAAGGCCAACCACUCCUGACCAAAUAGAAGAUAAAGGCACGUCUCACAUCUGAAUGAUGACUUUUGGGAUAAUAUUAUAUAGACUGACAAGAUGAAAAUUGAGCUUUUUGGAAAGUGUCUCAUUACAUCAGGCUUGAAUGUAGCACCAUAAAUUUGCCUCGAUCAGGUGCUCCUUGCAAGAUUUCUGACAGAGGAGUGCAAAGAAUAAUCAGACGAGUUGUCCAAGAGCCAAGGACCAACUGUGGAGAGCUUCAAAAAGACCUGGAAUUUGCAGAAGAAAAGAAACAGAUUCGCAAAGCUAUCCUAAGUUGCUCCAUAAUACAAGGAGCAUUUGAAGAUGAACCAG